RNAcentral lists this long non-coding RNA (565 nucleotides) under Callithrix jacchus (white-tufted-ear marmoset). RNAcentral's name for it is "lncRNA (ENSCJAG00000077928.1)". Lineage: Eukaryota; Metazoa; Chordata; Mammalia; Primates; Cebidae. The record is from RNAcentral.
CAGAACUAGAAUUGGAACAGAACACUUUUGGCCUCUGACCCACCCUGGGAGCCAGGCAAAGGAAGAAGAAGCUCCGACUCAGAGCUAUUUGCUUUAGAUAGGCAGGGACUUUGGAAAGUUCAUUCCCCAAGUCUUAGGAAGCCAACAUUUCAGGGCUGCUGAUAAUUUUGCAGGACGGAAGAAGGUCAGCUUUGCUCUUCUCCUGGGUUCUGGAACCAGACCUUCCUAACCUGUGCUGCUUACCUGGAGCCUCAGACCACUGUCACCCCUGCCCUCAUCUCCAGACUCUUCUUCCAGCAACUUGACUUGCAAAGCAGGGAUAGAGGGAUGGAGCACCAGCUUCCAUGUCAAGCAUAGCAGGCUGCACUCCUGGCAUCCCAGUGCCUUGGCUCUUGGGGCUUGUUCCUCAUCUCUAGCUCCUUCACAGAGUCGUCCUGAGGCUCACAAUGGGAACAUAUCAAUAAAUUACCCACUGUAUCAAAAGGAGUUAUUAUUAUCACAAUUGUUAUCGGCACUUAAGCCUGAAGGCAAAUAAAUGAUUUUUAGUUGCAAAAUUGAUCUUAUU